UACGAAGGGGGCUAGCGUUGUUCGGAAUCACUGGGCGUAAAGGGCGCGUAGGCGGCUGUUCAAGUCGGGGGUGAAAUCCCGUGGCUCAACCACGGAAUGGCCUUCGAUACUGGACGGCUAGAGACCGGAAGAGGUGAGUGGAACUGCGAGUGUAGAGGUGAAAUUCGUAGAUAUGUCAUAGAACACCGAUUGCGAAGGCAGCUUGCUGGGCUUCGAUUGACGCUGAGGCACGAAAGCGUGGGGAGCAAACAGG
This 253-nucleotide ribosomal RNA is filed under the name uncultured bacterium. RNAcentral's name for it is "partial 16S ribosomal RNA". It matches the Rfam family "Bacterial small subunit ribosomal RNA", at positions 524 to 776 of the family's 1533-position model. The record is from RNAcentral.